GGUGAUUGAUGGCAGGCAGCGUGGGGCUGUUGCUGAUGGAGUCCUUAAAUAGAACACCAGACAACUUUGGAUAUACCUGACAUUGGGAGUUCUGAUUCUUUGUCAUGCCAUGAGUGACAGUUUUGAUGCAGUAUGGACUAAAAUAGCAACAAUGGACAAACAAUAACUUGGUUUUAUAUCCAAAGCAAACAACAGUUUCUUCUAGUCACCUAUAACACUUGAGAUCAGCAUUUGGCUGAAGAAAACCAGACUGACAGUCAAUUCCAAUCAAAGAAAAGCUAAGAGGACAAUGGAGUAGAAAGGAAGUCGCUCAGCAUCAGCCUUCCUGUGAACAUGCUGCCUUAUGGCUUGAGACCAAUGUGUGGGCACUAAUCACCAUCUGGAGAGAGAAUGAGACUCCGG
Cygnus olor (mute swan) is the source of this 402-nucleotide long non-coding RNA. RefSeq lists it as uncharacterized. NCBI's taxonomy places the organism in Eukaryota, Metazoa, Chordata, Aves, Anseriformes, Anatidae. The record is from RefSeq and is a predicted model, not a curated record. The transcript is spliced from 3 exons.